GGGGCCAUAGCUCAGCUGGUAGAGCACCUGCAUGGCAUGCAGGGGGUCAGCGGUUCGAAUCCGCUUGGCUCCACUA
RNAcentral lists this transfer RNA (76 nucleotides) under Synechococcus sp. WH 8016. RNAcentral describes it as "tRNA-Ala". It matches the Rfam family "tRNA". From Rfam's summary of the family: Transfer RNA (tRNA) molecules are approximately 80 nucleotides in length. Their secondary structure includes four short double-helical elements and three loops (D, anti-codon, and T loops). Lineage: Bacteria; Bacillati; Cyanobacteriota; Cyanophyceae; Synechococcales; Synechococcaceae. The record is from RNAcentral. RNAcentral also lists the same sequence under 1 other name.